GACGAACGCUGGCGGCGUGCUUAACACAUGCAAGUCGAACGGAAAGGCCCUGCUUUUGUGGGGUGCUCGAGUGGCGAACGGGUGAGUAACACGUGAGUAACCUGCCCUUGACUUUGGGAUAACUUCAGGAAACUGGGGCUAAUACCGGAUAGGAGCUCCUGCUGCAUGGUGGGGGUUGGAAAGUUUCGGCGGUUGGGGAUGGACUCGCGGCUUAUCAGCUUGUUGGUGGGGUAGUGGCUUACCAAGGCUUUGACGGGUAGCCGGCCUGAGAGGGUGACCGGCCACAUUGGGACUGAGAUACGGCCCAGACUCCUACGGGAGGCAGCAGUGGGGAAUAUUGCACAAUGGGCGGAAGCCUGAUGCAGCAACGCCGCGUGCGGGAUGACGGCCUUCGGGUUGUAAACCGCUUUCGCCUGUGACGAAGCGUGAGUGACGGUAAUGGGUAAAGAAGCACCGGCUAACUACGUGCCAGCAGCCGCGGUGAUACGUAGGGUGCGAGCGUUGUCCGGAUUUAUUGGGCGUAAAGGGCUCGUAGGUGGUUGAUCGCGUCGGAAGUGUAAUCUUGGGGCUUAACCCUGAGCGUGCUUUCGAUACGGGUUGACUUGAGGAAGGUAGGGGAGAAUGGAACUCCUGGUGGAGCGGUGGAAUGCGCAGAUAUCAGGAGGAACACCAGUGGCGAAGGCGGUUCUCUGGGCCUUUCCUGACGCUGAGGAGCGAAAGCGUGGGGAGCGAACAGGCUUAGAUACCCUGGUAGUCCACGCUGUAAACGGUGGGUACUAGGUGUGGGGUCCAUUCCACGGGUUCCGUGCCGUAGCUAACGCUUUAAGUACCCCGCCUGGGGAGUACGGCCGCAAGGCUAAAACUCAAAGGAAUUGACGGGGCCCCGCACAAGCGGCGGAGCAUGCGGAUUAAUUCGAUGCAACGCGUAGAACCUUACCUGGGUUUGACAUGGAUCGGGAGUGCUCAGAGAUGGGUGUGCCUCUUUUGGGGUCGGUUCACAGGUGGUGCAUGGCUGUCGUCAGCUCGUGUCGUGAGAUGUUGGGUUAAGUCCCGCAACGAGCGCAACCCUUGUUCACUGUUGCCAGCACGUUAUGGUGGGGACUCAGUGGAGACCGCCGGGGUCAACUCGGAGGAAGGUGGGGAUGACGUCAAGUCAUCAUGCCCCUUAUGUCCAGGGCUUCACGCAUGCUACAAUGGCUGGUACAGAGAGUGGCGAGCCUGUGAGGGUGAGCGAAUCUCGGAAAGCCGGUCUCAGUUCGGAUUGGGGUCUGCAACUCGACCUCAUGAAGUCGGAGUCGCUAGUAAUCGCAGAUCAGCAACGCUGCGGUGAAUACGUUCCCGGGGCUUGUACACACCGCCCGUCAAGUCAUGAAAGUUGGUAACACCCGAAGCCGGUGGCCUAACCGUUGUGGGGGAGCCGUCGAAGGUGGGACUGGUGAUUAGGACUAAGUCGU
Molecule: ribosomal RNA, 1454 nt
Filed under: uncultured organism
Description: 16S ribosomal RNA
Rfam family: Bacterial small subunit ribosomal RNA
Source: RNAcentral